GUGAGGAUCAAAUGAGGAAGCAGACUAGAACAUCAACUCCACUAAGCCUUUCCAGCAGAACCUGCAAGAUUACGAAAAGACAUGGGAAAUGAAGCUCAAAAGGUCGCGGUGACUGAGUUGUCAGAAGAGGCCCUAUUCUGUGUCACCAAAAUGAGGCUCACCUGCAGGUAGGAGAAGGCUUCUUCUUUUGUUCUAGCUCUUCUUUCCUUCAGGCUUCCCAGAGUUCACUGCACCUGAGGUGAGAGACACCUGCAUUUGGACUGUGCUGCUUUAGGUAAGUUCACAUUCCACCACCCAGUGGUCUUUUUUUCAAGACAAUGUUUUUUGUAUUGGUAUCUCCUUUUUCCCAUUUUCUUUUCUGGUGGUCUUUUCACAGGUCUCUCCAAAGAACUCCCAACCCUCAAAUGAAGCCAGCUUUUCCAGCAGAGUCCCAGAAGUCAUAGUAGUAAGAAAAGCUGUUU
Podarcis raffonei (Aeolian wall lizard) is the source of this 461-nucleotide long non-coding RNA. RefSeq lists it as uncharacterized. The record is from RefSeq and is a predicted model, not a curated record. The transcript is spliced from 2 exons. Lineage: Eukaryota; Metazoa; Chordata; Lepidosauria; Squamata; Lacertidae.